AAAGUCAAUAACGUCGCCUGCCACAGUAUCAGAACACCGAACGAAGCAGAGCAAGCAUGUUCCGGUCCGUGGUCGCGUUCGCAUUUUUCGCUGCGAUGCUCGUCGCUUCUGAGAUGGAAACGACGGCUCAGGAAGGAGUGGCUUGCCCAGUGAAUGAACUUUGGUCGCCUUGCGCAAGAGCGUGCGAGCCAACGUGCAUCAAACCCCAGCAAUGUUAUGCCAAAUGCAGAGCGGAUAGCCCUGGGGGUUGCCGUUGCCAAGAUGGAUACGUCAGGAAUCCAAACAGCGAUCAAUGCGUGUUACUUGGAGAGUGUUAAUUCGUUCAUUAUAAUAUUAGUGAUGUUAAAGGAUAUCAAUAAAGAGCAUUCUUAAAACAGCAACAAAAGGUGUGAUUACAAGCAAUUAUCAUUAUAAAACAGCAUACAAUUACAUUUACAAAUACAUUUAAAAACGGACACUAAAAAUGUUUUAAGAAGAGUUUGAAAAUAGGUCCGACAACAAGCGCAUCUUGAAAACAGCGUUUAGGUGUUCAGGAAAGUAGUAAUUAUGUUAAACAGAAAAGAUGCACCUUGGAAAUACGGAAUAUAAAUACUACCGUAAUCCAGCUGGUUUGCAUAAUUCAAACAGUUGGUAGCAAACGCUGAGCUAUUGCACGCGAAGAAUAUACCAGAAACAAGGAAAACCAUCCAGAAAUUCGCAUUCCCAUUUGUACUUCUUGUUGUGGCCUACGCGAUUGUCCAAGACUCGAGUGAGUGCGGAAAACUUGGAACUAAGACUUUGACGUAAAGACCGAGGCUUGUUGAAGUACAAGCGUGAGUGUAUUUCAUUGAUAUAAUCAGCCACGAUCGAGUAUUUUGAUGGUACAAACGAGAAUCAAUUUUUCAGUGGCGAAAAUGUAAAAAAGGAUGCAGAUGCAAGGGUUGGUAUAAUAGAGACAGAGAAGGUAAGUGCGUAAAGGCUGAGGAUUGUUAACUAGAUCGAGUUUUCAGAAGUAUUAAUUAACUUAAUCAUACUGCUAACUUCUAUACACGAAUAAAUACUGUUUAUUCAUCCGUUAUCUAAUACGAUGAAUAAAUGCUACUAAGCGCUUUUUUUAAAAUAAAACAGUAAAUUAUAAGCAGAUUAGAGUUUUUAUACAAAAUAUUUUUAUACGACACUGAAUGCGUGAGUUAAAAGUGAACUCUGUCAUUUGUCACGAAUAAAUUGUGACUUAUAACGCGUAGAAGAAAAAAGAUUUACACUAAUUAAUGGUUACUAGAGUUAAUACGGACACCAGAGUCUCUGACGAAAAAAGAACUUAAUUUGUUUACGGAAUCGUUACUUAGAUAAUAAUCAUGGUCACUCACAAAAAAGGCGCUGCCUCGAGUUCCGAUCAACGAUUCGAAUCGACUGUCCAAGAGCCGUUAAUACAUAGUUAAAUAUCACGUACUGCGUGCAUAAACUUUGGACUUUUCCGUCUAUUGCUUAAUCACCAAUCUGCGUGAUUUUCCUCGAUCAACACGGAUUCGUCGAACGAGUGCCACUGCCUUCCAUUGAAUGUCGACUGGGAUCCUAUCGGGGCUCGGCUUGUUUCACCUUCGUGUAGAACAGUUAUUGCUAACUGAAAACUCCGUUAAACGAUCGUGCGAUUAUUGAUAAUUCCUAAGCGGUGACUGGGCUUUUGUUACGCUUGGAACAGAAGGAACUGUGCGACUUGAUUGAAAAUUUCCCGACCGCAACGAAACCAUGGGAUUGACUAUAGUUCGUACAUCGUGUGGAACUUGGACUGGUUUAAUAUCUGCGAACAACCCUACAGAACACAGGAGACACUUGAACGAAAUUUUGAAAGAAGCCACGAUCAAAGAAACAAUUUGUUCGACGAGAGGGUCUCGCACGAUGAGAAAGGGAGAGUGUAUCGUGAAAAAUCCGGGUUUUCCAACAGGAUUUCACGAGAAAGGGUCGCGUCCGGUCGAGUGCCCUCGGAAAGCUCUCGUUCCUAUCAUAUUUAUGAGACAUCGAAUCGCGGGGUAAAUCAUGGUCGUUGAGAAAGUGACGAGCCCUACAUGCGUGCUGCUGACGUGUUACGUACGAGUGAGAAAUCGGCUCGAAAGCACGCUGUUCGAAUCCAGGCCACCCUUUGAAACCUGUCGAUUUCCCGCCAAGGGGAACGCGUUUCCAUCGCUUUUCUAUCCGCCGCCUCCCCCCCGUUUGGCACGCAAUCGCCCGGUAGAUUCGAGGAUCGAGUCGAAUUCAUCGCACUCGCCGCAUUUAGCAGCUGUCGAACCCGAUCAAGAUCGUUACGUUCGUGAUCUGGAAAUCUGGUGAAACGGGAGCGAAACGAUACACGCCUCCCUUUGUCCGGCGACAAUGCUACGAAAUAACAGGGUCGUAGGCCUGUGCUCCUGGAUCGAAGGGAGAUCGUAUGAAACAACGAUUAGUGAGGACACAGCCGGUCCCUCCGAAAAGGAACGCGACACGAAGUCUUUCUUUCCUGGCUGUGGCAGUUCUUUAUAAUAGAGAGCGGACACGGGUAUAAACGGGAUCGAUUCAAAAUUAAUCCUCUAUUGUCGCAUAGCUCCUUUUCACAGUACCUACUGGAUCUGUUCGCUGUGGGAUCGUCCCGAGAAAGUGUCGUUUCAAGAAACGAGCAUUCAAUUGAUCGAAAGAAUCGUGUCUGACCAAUGUCGCACCUAUUCUACUGAAUACGUCCAUCCUCGUUUGGAACAAAAUUACUUACGGUAAAAAUGCCGGAACUAUUUUCGAGCAAUGUUAUCAUAAGUUUCCUCUUCGGGAAAACAGUGCUGAAGAAUCAAGCAGUGUUCCAAGAAAAUCCGUUGGUCGGAUCCGGGUUACGCAAGACGAAUCGAUCGGAGGAAAAAUCGAGAAGCUACAUGACUUUUUGCACGUCUCGCGACGAAACGCCAAGUGCAAUUUUCUAGCGACGGAAGAGAAGACGUCGGAGUCAUCGGGUUGCGUCUGGUCAGAGAUUGUUACGCAACGCAAGGCGCCCGGCGCUGCACAGCCUGACUCCGGUGUUCUGCCAGCAAACAACUUACAUAAUGCCGUAUAUUUAUCCACCGGCACCGAGUUUACUGCACUACCGACAACGUCCCCCCUCUCUCUCUCUCUCUCUCUUUUGUACACGGUAACGCCGGCACGCGUGUCGGGAAAAGCGUGCUCCAAAGCGAACGUGUUCAUUACGCGGCCUCGGCUGCCAGCGAAACACGCGUCACGUGUCCGCGGCCGCUGUCUCAUUAAGAAACGCCGGCUGCUUUUCGGUCCGCACUGCUCUAUCGGGCCGCGUAUUCAUUAAGAAACCGUGUUUGACUAUUUCCAACCAACAUCUACGCAGACCUCUUUUACCAGGGAAAUGCGAUCUUAAACACUGCGAGAAAGAACGUGCGACUUUUAACGAUUACCUCGGUUGCAAAUAUGUAAGCUUGAGAGUUUGUCGCAAGAAAUCAUUAGAGACUUCGAUGAACGAUGGAAAAACGUGUACGGAAUCGGUGUUACAAUCAUGUUACUCCGCAAUUCCGAGCAUACUACGUUCGAAACGUGAAACACCACUCGCAGAUGUUCACUGAUAUUAUGUAUCGAACGAGAUAUCCAACGAUGUCGCCGGCCAAGUGAACAGAUAGACGUAUUCCUAGGAAUCUCUUAUCGCGUGCUCGCACGUACGCAUGAGAUAGCUCGACUUCACAGAGACGCAAUAGCACGGGAAUAGACGGUAAACAGGCACCGACGCCAGACGACGGUGUCUAACCUAGCCCAAGAAAAAGCUGAUUGCCAACCUCCCGGUAGCUUCGAUAUAAGGUAAAGGAGGUAGUACCUGGACACUUUUGAACAUAAAUUUUUUAUAAUGUUUUUUUACUACGAAAUUUAAGCAUAGUACAUGAAAACUUAUCAUCUUAGCAGAUAGCUGGGAUCUCAUAGUCAUAUUUAAGAAAAAAAAACCUUCUUUUGUAAUAUAUGUAUUAAAAUAAUCGCAUUAAAAAAAAAUUGCUGUCAACCGCAGUAGUAGGACACAUUUAAUCUGAACGAGUGGUGUAGUAGGACAAGUAUGGAAUCAGAACUGGGACAAUAUUAUUAUGACGCCUCUAAGCGAAUUGAGAAACAGUUGGAUUAAGAGAAAGGGUUGAAAAGUUAUGAAAAUACACUAAAUCAUUUAUUGUGAAAAAUAUAUCAUACGUUUGAAUGGGUUUUAUAGCAGAUCCGAAUUUAUCCAGGUAUUGCAGCGCGAUUAAUUAGUGAGGGGGCUAAACCUGGACAGCCACUGCCGUCUUGUCCCACUUGUACGUAUUAAGUUUCAAAAAGGAGUGUAAACUUGGACAGUAAAUUAUUAAAUACAUAUCUAUUAUGUCCAAGUACUGGUUCCAAAAUUCGUUUUGUCCCAGUACUACCUCCUUUACUUUAUGAUCAGCCGUGUUCAUCCGGUAAGCGCAGAAAACGAAAGCUGCAACGCGGUUUCAGAAUCCAAUUGAUUCGUCUUCCAAUUUGGCUAAUAAGAACGAUUGAAAUUUCAGCUUCAGCGAGCUUCGAUCUCUUAUACGAUUUAAUCCUCAGACCAUGAAAAUUCAUAUAAUUUGUUCGUUUUUAGGUAAAAAUCGCCUAUUUUGUUUAACAGACAAAGUGUGGUAAUUCUUUGGACAGGAUUGGACUCUAUUGUAGGACUACUGUCGCUGAUGCGACGGUCAUAAAAUUUGAUCUCAAGUACACAGUGAAGCGAUGUCGUUCAAUUAUUUUCGUGGUUCAUCCUUAUUCGCGAAAAACGUAAGUUCGCGACGCAGUAGGUCCCUCGACGGCUCGGUGCAUGAUUCACCGGGCACAUUGAUAUAUGAAUGUAUACAUAUAGAAGAACAAACGCGAUACCACGGUCCAUCACGUAGAGGCGCACGGUCACGUAGCCAGUUUAUUGCGCGCAAGCGUGCAAGUUCAUAAGAACGUGACGUAACAGCAGGUAUCUCUUUCGCACUCGAGCGGUUUCUUCGCGAAGCGAACCGCGCGAGGUGAUACGCGUGGGUUUAUGCUGACGUUGUGUAUAAUAACGCAACCUCGACAGACGGAAUUACACUAACCUAGCGCAAAGAAAAAACCGGUCGUCCCACCGGGUGUCGCAUAUAUGUAUAACAGCGUACAAACAUGUUUAUCCGGAACGCGAUUCCGUGACGCAUUCUAAUGACACGAAUAGCAGAGCAUUGUAUGCGUUUUACGGAUCAGUGAAGCCUCUUGGCGAAGCCGGGCCGUGAACUUUAACUCCGCGAGAUACCAGGAUAUCGCGAAAGAAAGUGGCUCGCCCAAUUCUAUAAUUAAACGCGAGCCGCCAGUCAACUCUUAAACGUAUCGUUCUAAUCUUUUAUCCAGUUUCACUCUUAGACAAGGAGUUUCAUGGUACCAAGUCUAUUUUUAAUCCGGCUUUUAAACAGAUAACGAGACAAAAUAUAGUGAGAACCGUCAAUGGAAAAUUCCAAUGGCGUUGGCGAGGUCGUGGUGUAUCGGAGACGAUCAUCCGAUAAGAAGAGGGCAAACCGGGAGAUCUCUUUCAGGGUUGAUAACGGCUCGGCGAUAUCGGUUUUAUCAGGCUUGGCCGCGUGGAGUGGGAACGUCGUUCGGUGGCCGCCGCGUGCUGCCGGUUGGCUGACGCUUAAGAAUAGAGCUAGUAAAUAGCUCCGGCAACGAUAUAUUACUAACCUAGCCCAACGCAGCGCGCGUUGCACGGCCGGCUCGACCCUGAGGCAAAAGUAGCGACGUGUACUGCCUGCUCGCGGCGCGGCCUAGCCUCUAGCCUAGCGGUCGUUGACUGAUUAUUUUAUGCGCUCGACGCAACUACGUGUAUCUUUUCUACGUGUAUCCAGGAAACCAACGGUCAUCCACUACGUUUUUUUAGACAUUUCUAUUCUAUUUAUUAUUAUCGAUUAUUUCGCUCUUUGAACAAGCGAAAUUCGAGUCAAAAGGAAAAUCCGAGCUAAAUUGUUUAAACUAAUUGCAAGAGUAGAACCAACGGAAUACCGACAGCGUUUUGAAAUAAAGUUGAGUUAUUUUA
Ceratina calcarata is the source of this 6019-nucleotide RNA transcript. It is a transcript of the gene named chymotrypsin inhibitor-like, with no coding region annotated. The transcript has 4 exons. The record is from RefSeq and is a predicted model, not a curated record. NCBI's taxonomy places the organism in Eukaryota, Metazoa, Arthropoda, Insecta, Hymenoptera, Apidae.